This is a long non-coding RNA of Zingiber officinale, 777 nucleotides long. RefSeq lists it as uncharacterized. The transcript has 4 exons. The record is from RefSeq and is a predicted model, not a curated record. NCBI's taxonomy places the organism in Eukaryota, Viridiplantae, Streptophyta, Magnoliopsida, Zingiberales, Zingiberaceae.
CGUUUGAGCAUUUCCCCGAACCCGAGCCUUCUCCCCUCUCUGCCCCGAUCCCCUCUGCUCACGCUGCCUCUCUCUCGCGGACGAAUCGGAGGCGACGGGAGCGGAGCUUCUCCUUUGGCGAUCAUCCUCGUUCGUCGGAGCUUGCUGGAGCACGGCGGAGCCUAGAUCUUCUUCGGCCGAGGGGUCUCUGCUCCGGUGGUGCUUGCGGCCGAACGACAACCCCUUGGUGGCUAGGGCGCGGUGAGGAACAAGGUCCAUGUCAUCUCCCAACCUACCGACUCCCUCGUUCAUCUUCCUCUAGUUAUUUACGGAGCGAUCCACGUCUUCUCUAGCCGGAUCGGACAGUGAUGCCAUCGGGAGGUGAUCUAGAGAGAUUGGGUUUUCUCUUCUUGCGGAUGAUUGGGGAAUUCAGUUGAAGAGGUUGAGAUCAGUGAGGUGUUCUUGCGUUGUCGGGCAGAGGCUAGCAGGAUUGUUGUUGGAUCAGUCCUCUUCUUGCUUGACCUCCUGUUGUGAUCCGACUGAAUUCCAGCAAGGUGAUGUUCUGUGGAUUGAUUGGUUCCAGCAUCAAUAGUAGUUUGGUAUGUUCAGUGGUGUAUUCUUGUUUCGGCAGGAUCUCCUUCCAACAGUUGAGAAUCAAGGUAAGGUGUUGUAUGCUGUGAUGCUGGAACUGUGAUCGUAAGGUGAUUUCCAGCAGCAUCACCUGUGGCUUUCGAUUAGUGAGGACUUUGAUUCGAGACGAGCAUCUCGAUAUUGGAUUAGGACUGGAUUGCACCUUCU